CCCUUAGAUGUUCUGGGCUGCACGCGCGCUACACUGAUGCGUUCAACGAGUUUAUGACCUUGCCCGAUAGGGUUGGGUAAUCUUUUUAAAUCGCAUCGUGAUGGGGAUAGAUUAUUGCAAUUAUUAAUCUUCAACGAGGAAUUCCUAGUAAGCGCGAGUCAUCAGCUCGUGCUGAUUACGUCCCUGCCCUUUGUACACACCGCCCGUCGCUCCUACCGAUUGAAUGGUCCGGUGAAAUCUCGGGACGGCGGCUUGGUCGCUUGCGUCCGACUGCUGAAACUUGAUUAAACCAUAUCAUUUAGAGGAAGGUGAAGUCGUAACA
This 322-nucleotide ribosomal RNA is filed under the name uncultured eukaryote. RNAcentral's name for it is "partial 18S ribosomal RNA". It matches the Rfam family "Eukaryotic small subunit ribosomal RNA", at positions 1470 to 1796 of the family's 1831-position model. The record is from RNAcentral.